CCUACGAGAGGCAGCAGUGGGGAAUAUUGGUCAAUGGGCGGGAGCCUGAACCAGCCAAGCCGCGUGAGGGAAGAAGGUACAGCGUAUCGUACACCUCUUUUGUCAGGGAACAAAGGCGGGGACUAGUCCCCGGAUGAGGGUCCCUGACGAAAAAGCAUCGGCUAACUCCGUGCCAGCAGCCGCGGUAAUACGGAGGAUGCGAGCGUUAUCCGGAUUUCUUGGGGUUAAAGGUUGCGCAGGCGGCCUGUUAAGUCAGCGGUAAAAGCCCGGGGCUCAACCCCGGCGAGCCGGUGAAACUGGCGGGCUGGAGUUGGAGAGAAGUACGCGGAAUGCGCGGUGUAGCGGUGAAAUGCUUAGAUAUCGCGCAGAACCCCGAUUGCGAAGGCAGCGUACCGGCUCCACACUGACGCUGAGGCACGAAAGCGUGGGUAUCGAACAGGAUUAGAUACCCUAGUAGUC
RNAcentral lists this ribosomal RNA (459 nucleotides) under uncultured bacterium. Its description in RNAcentral is "partial 16S ribosomal RNA". It matches the Rfam family "Bacterial small subunit ribosomal RNA", at positions 338 to 795 of the family's 1533-position model. The record is from RNAcentral.